Long non-coding RNA from Pan troglodytes (chimpanzee), 569 nucleotides. RefSeq lists it as uncharacterized. The record is from RefSeq and is a predicted model, not a curated record. The transcript is spliced from 2 exons. NCBI's taxonomy places the organism in Eukaryota, Metazoa, Chordata, Mammalia, Primates, Hominidae.
CCCGUGCUAUUCUCAUGAUAGUGAAUGGGAAGAUCUGAUAAUGUUAUAAACAGGAAUUUCUCUGCACAAGCUCUCUUUUUGUCUGCUGCCUUCCAUGUAAAAUGGGACUUGCUCCUCCUUGUCUUCCACCAUGAUUGUGCAGCCUCCCCAGCCAUGUGAAACUGAUUCAUGACCACUACCCCAAAAUACGGCACCUCUGCCUGUGUGGAAACAACAGAAGCAGGAAGAUUACUCUCAUUUUUCUCUGGCCUUUUUCCCUUGAAGCAGACCAUAAAGAAGAAUCUGACCUUCCUCUGAAGGAAACCUUCAUUCCAGACAUACCCUCCCUAUAUCCAAAGAACAUCUUUAUCUUUAAAGACACAGAGAUGCCAAGAAGAAUCUGAACAAACAGGCUUUGCCAGAUUCCCCAGUUUACUAAUAUUGGACCAUACUCUUUUGUUCUUCAAUCAUACUUCUGCAUGAUGUCCAUAAAAAUACACAGUUUUCCCCAUUCCUUUGGGUAUUUAUUCCUGAAAGCCUCUGUGUCAUGUAAAACUUAUAUUAAAUAAAUUUGUAUGCUUUUGCUUGUG